This 70-nucleotide transfer RNA is filed under the name Silverstoneia erasmios. Its description in RNAcentral is "tRNA-Val". It matches the Rfam family "tRNA". From Rfam's summary of the family: Transfer RNA (tRNA) molecules are approximately 80 nucleotides in length. Their secondary structure includes four short double-helical elements and three loops (D, anti-codon, and T loops). Further hydrogen bonds mediate the characteristic L-shaped molecular structure. tRNAs have two regions of fundamental functional importance: the anti-codon, which is responsible for specific mRNA codon recognition, and the 3' end, to which the tRNAs corresponding amino acid is attached (by aminoacyl-tRNA synthetases). tRNAs cope with the degeneracy of the genetic code in two manners: having more than one tRNA (with a specific anti-codon) for a particular amino acid; and 'wobble' base-pairing, i.e. permitting non-standard base-pairing at the 3rd anti-codon position. Lineage: Eukaryota; Metazoa; Chordata; Amphibia; Anura; Dendrobatidae. The record is from RNAcentral.
CAAAAUAUAACUUAACCAAAGUAUUUCGCUUACACCGAAAAAAUAUUAGUGAAACCCUGAUUAUUUUGAG